Molecule: unclassified non-coding RNA, 154 nt
Filed under: Briareum sp. YM-2012-3
Lineage: Eukaryota; Metazoa; Cnidaria; Anthozoa; Scleralcyonacea; Briareidae
Description: ITS2
Source: RNAcentral
CUCGAACACAUCGUCCAUUCGACGGACGGCGUUGGGCGGUCGCGGCGGCCACUCGCCUCGUCUCCCGAAAUCCAUCUGCCAAGUUUGCGACGACUCGUGCGAAGCCUAAACGUUUCAACGACUUUGCGCUGCCGUUGCUCUCUUUAACCACUUU